Molecule: ribosomal RNA, 589 nt
Filed under: uncultured bacterium
Lineage: Bacteria
Description: bacterial SSU rRNA
Rfam family: Bacterial small subunit ribosomal RNA
Source: RNAcentral
CCUACGGGAGGCAGCAGUGGGGAAUAUUGGACAAUGGGCGAAAGCCUGAUCCAGCAAUGCCGCGUGAGUGAUGAAGGCCUUCGGGUCGUAAAGCUCUUUUACCAGGGAUGAUAAUGACAGUACCUGGAGAAUAAGCUCCGGCUAACUCCGUGCCAGCAGCCGCGGUAAUACGGAGGGAGCUAGCGUUGUUCGGAAUUACUGGGCGUAAAGAGUACGUAGGCGGUUAUUCAAGUCAGAGGUGAAAGCCCGGGGCUCAACCCCGGAACUGCCUUUGAAACUAGAUAACUAGAGUCUUGGAGAGGUUAGUGGAAUUCCGAGUGUAGAGGUGAAAUUCGUAGAUAUUCGGAAGAACACCAGUGGCGAAGGCGACUAACUGGACAAGUACUGACGCUGAGGUACGAAAGCGUGGGGAGCAAACAGGAUUAGAUACCCUGGUAGUCCACGCCGUAAACGAUGGUAACUAGUUGUUCGGUCACUUGGUGACUGAGUGACGCAGCUAACGCAUUAAGUUAUCCGCCUGGGGAGUACGGUCGCAAGAUUAAAACUCAAAGGAAUUGACGGCUGAGACNGCGAGACGACACGAGGAGAG